Molecule: ribosomal RNA, 253 nt
Filed under: uncultured bacterium
Lineage: Bacteria
Description: partial 16S ribosomal RNA
Rfam family: Bacterial small subunit ribosomal RNA
Source: RNAcentral
UACGUAGGGUGCAAGCGUUGUCCGGAAUUAUUGGGCGUAAAGAGCUCGUAGGCGGUCUGUCGCGUCUGCUGUGAAAACUCGGGGCUUAACCCCGGGCCUGCAGUGGGUACGGGCAGACUAGAGUGCGGUAGGGGAGACUGGAAUUCCUGGUGUAGUGGUGAAAUGCGCAGAUAUCAGGAGGAACACCGGUGGCGAAGGCGGGUCUCUGGGCCGUAACUGACGCUGAGGAGCGAAAGCGUGGGGAGCGAACAGG